This 1030-nucleotide long non-coding RNA is filed under the name Calidris pygmaea (Spoon-billed sandpiper). Its description in RNAcentral is "lncRNA (ENSCPGG00000005813.1)". Lineage: Eukaryota; Metazoa; Chordata; Aves; Charadriiformes; Scolopacidae. The record is from RNAcentral.
UCUGUGAAGGCUGACCUGGCUUCCAGAGAUCGUAAAUCUUCUUUUUCCUCUUGAGCUCCACGAGGAGUUCCCUGUUCAGACAAGCUGGUCUUCCACCCAGCCUGCUUGACUUCCGACACAAUGGAAGGGGCUAAACAAUUCUCAGGAAGAGUUUCCAUGUGAUUGACCUAUAUUGGGGUAGGGUUAUAGCUGAGUGACGUUUUCAACUUCCUUCUAGCUGCCUUACCUAAUGUCUAGUUUAAGGAAAAAAUGGGGUUAUAAUUCUGUGGCUUUUUUAUAUAACAGCCAGAAUUUUAAAUACUGGUACUUAAGAGAAAUUAAAAGUUGAUUAUAACUUCUGCACGUGCUGUUCUGUUUGACAGAAAAUCAUACAGAUGCAUUUCAUACUCCAGUUAAUGGAUUUAAAAGUAAAGCAACUGCAAAAUCGAAAUCCACGAGAAACAAAGCUGGCAAAGGACCAGGGAAAGCAGCAGCGGAAGUGAGGUCUGUGAGCAGAAGGAAAACUGGCGCAACUGUGAAAUGCAGUAGUGAAAGGUAAAUCCUUUUUCCUCCACUGUCAAAAUCACGAUCUCUGUUCCGGCAAGGAAAUCUAAUUCAAAUGUUUUUCCUUUCCAAAACCAGCAUCUUUACUAUUCUGUGUUGCUAAUACACAGAUAAACAUUUAAGGAAAAAAGUAAUUAUUUGAACUGAUACUUUUGAAACAAUCACAGGUUUGUCAGCUUCACAUUUAUUACCAUUGCCUGAAAGCCUGUAAUUCUUUUUUUUUUUUUUUUUUUUUUUAACAUACCUUUUGUGAGUAGAGUUAAUAUACAUUCCAGCCGACAAAACUUAGAUUUUUGGCUUACAUUAUUACUCUUCAUCCAGUCACUUUUUCUGCUUUCUUAAUAACUGUUCUGUGGAGGAAUCAUUUUUUAAUUUAAGUUCUGUUUCCCCUUCCCCAUUUUUGUUGCUUGUUUUUCAACAUGUAGUUGAUAAGCUUCUAGAAAUGACUGAUAAGUGAAUGUACGCAAUGCAUUCCUUUUCUUAUGAU